UUGAUGAAUCGCACCCCCUUGUUUAUAGCCCCAAUACCAGAUUUUUGUCAAACCUGCCACCUUUUUACAUAAAGGAAAAAUAAAAUUCAAUUGUUCAUUAUAAUUUUUUAAAAUUUGUUUGAGGAAUUAUUAUAAGGCAAUUCAGAACCAUCUCAACCACUUUCUUUUCCCCCUUUUACAUCUCUUUCUCUCUCAUGUCCUCACCUACAUCCAGUUUGGCCGCCCAUCCACCAUUGACCCACCACCUCCACCCAUCCCCACACCCCACCCUCCCCACCACCUCCAACUAUGCAAACUCAAUUGACUCUUCCCGGCGCUCACGCGCUACUGACUUCGAUGAUCCAUUGCAAUCCACCACAUGCUCCGCGACAAGCGCCAAUAAACUUCGCCUCAUUUACAGAAUCGAACUCGGAACUCAGGACGAACGAUCCAUCGAACAAGAAGUAUAAACUACGGUUGAGGUACAAAGAAGAUCAUGGGAUGCCUUAGAGUGAGGAUGCAACCACCAAAUUCACGAUCGAUGUUUAGUAAAGAUAACUAUGUCUCACUAGUAAUAAUGGAUGUAUUAACUAAACUCUAAGUUAAAUUUCAUGAUUUGAGUUAGAAUUUUAAUAUUAAUGUUUAAUCAAUGC
This is a long non-coding RNA of Spinacia oleracea (spinach), 632 nucleotides long. RefSeq lists it as uncharacterized. NCBI's taxonomy places the organism in Eukaryota, Viridiplantae, Streptophyta, Magnoliopsida, Caryophyllales, Amaranthaceae. The record is from RefSeq and is a predicted model, not a curated record. The transcript has 3 exons.